This 468-nucleotide ribosomal RNA is filed under the name uncultured bacterium. RNAcentral describes it as "partial 16S ribosomal RNA". It matches the Rfam family "Bacterial small subunit ribosomal RNA", at positions 28 to 507 of the family's 1533-position model. The record is from RNAcentral.
GACGAACGCUGGCGGCGCGCCUAACACAUGCCAGUCGAACGGAGCUGAGAGAAGCUUGCUUUUCUUAGCUUAGUGGCGAACGGGUGAGUAACGCGUGAGUAACCUGCCCUGGAGUGGGGGACAACAGUUGGAAACGACUGCUAAUACCGCAUAAGCCCACGAUCCGGCAUCGGAUUGAGGGAAAGGGAUUUAUUCGCUUCAGGAUGGACUCGCGUCCAAUUAGCUAGUUGGUGAGGUAACGGCCCACCAAGGCGACGAUUGGUAGCCGGACUGAGAGGUUGAACGGCCACAUUGGGACUGAGACACGGCCCAGACUCCUACGGGAGGCAGCAGUGGGGGAUAUUGCACAAUGGGGGAAACCCUGAUGCAGCGACGCCGCGUGGAGGAAGAAGGUUUUCGGAUUGUAAACUCCUGUCGUUAGGGACGAUAAUGACGGUACCUAACAAGAAAGCACCGGCUAACUACGUG